This is a long non-coding RNA of Hippocampus zosterae (dwarf seahorse), 790 nucleotides long. RefSeq lists it as uncharacterized. The record is from RefSeq and is a predicted model, not a curated record. Lineage: Eukaryota; Metazoa; Chordata; Actinopteri; Syngnathiformes; Syngnathidae. The transcript has 2 exons.
CAGGCAACACGUCUCCCUCUCCUGCUCCCGCUCCCGGGAAAGUCGCUUCUGCUCAUCCUGCAGCUGCUGCUUUUCUUCCUGGAGGAGCCGCAUGGCCUUCAGGAGCUCCCUGCGCUCCUGCUGCGCCUCCUCCACGCGCUGCCAAACGGCUGAAGAGAUUCGAAUGGCCGAUAAUCCACAUGCAAAAGGGUCGUACCUCAAGCAGGCCAGUCUUGGUGGUGACCACCAGGAUGUCUGAAUUGCUGUCAUCUUCACUGACAGUCAGCAGCUCCUCGGUGGGUGUGGCUGACCUGAACUGGAACGGUGUGCUUGCCCCUCUUAUGUCACCGCCGUGUGUCACGUAACAGAACUGGUAGAAUUCUCCAUCAGACUUGGGAACAUAGUAACCUAGACGAUAGAAGAACGGACGUAUCAGUCGGAGUCUUCAGUUGAUACCUGUAUCUGCUUCGCACUGAAGAAAGUCUGACUUUGAUUCAAUUCUGCACAAACUUUUUUUUUUUAUUAAAUGUUUUUUUUCCCCACUAAUGUCUACUGUGAUUUGAAGGUGUCUGGCUCGCCUGGUUCACCAUAGGGUGCGUUAAGUGCAGGAAAUCAAUCUGCAAACCACGUCUACUGCCUCGUGACACAUCGCAGCAUGCGCUCAUAUUUUCAUUGUGUAAAAAUCUGACCAUUCCAGGGACAGUAAAAACUAGUUUGCAGGCCCUUACCGUGCGGUUUCAGAGGCGCUUUAAGUCCUCGGCCCGACAUGUGCGGUUAUGUUUCCUUAUGAAAUAAAAAGUGCUGCUUUUUA